RNAcentral lists this ribosomal RNA (854 nucleotides) under uncultured bacterium. Its description in RNAcentral is "bacterial SSU rRNA". It matches the Rfam family "Bacterial small subunit ribosomal RNA", at positions 8 to 841 of the family's 1533-position model. The record is from RNAcentral.
AGAGUUUGAUCCUGGCUCAGGAUGAACGCUGGCGGCGUGCCUAAUACAUGCAAGUCGAGCGAACAGACGAGGAGCUUGCUCCUCUGACGUUAGCGGCGGACGGGUGAGUAACACGUGGAUAACCUACCUAUAAGACUGGGAUAACUUCGGGAAACCGGAGCUAAUACCGGAUAAUAUAUUGAACCGCAUGGUUCAAUAGUGAAAGACGGUUUUGCUGUCACUUAUAGAUGGAUCCGCGCCGCAUUAGCUAGUUGGUAAGGUAACGGCUUACCAAGGCAACGAUGCGUAGCCGACCUGAGAGGGUGAUCGGCCACACUGGAACUGAGACACGGUCCAGACUCCUACGGGAGGCAGCAGUAGGGAAUCUUCCGCAAUGGGCGAAAGCCUGACGGAGCAGUGCCGCGUGAGUGAUGAAGGUCUUCGGAUCGUAAAACUCUGUUAUUAGGGGAGAACAAAUGUGUAAGUAACUAUGCACGUCUUGACGGUACCUAAUCAGAAAGCCACGGCUAACUACGUGCCAGCAGCCGCGGUAAUACGUAGGUGGCAAGCGUUAUCCGGAAUUAUUGGGCGUAAAGCGCGCGUAGGCGGUUUUUUAAGUCUGAUGUGAAAGCCCACGGCUCAACCGUGGAGGGUCAUUGGAAACUGGAAAACUUGAGUGCAGAAGAGGAAAUUGGAAUUCCAUGUGUAGCGGUGAAAUGCGCAGAGAUAUGGAGGAACACCCAGUGGCGAAGGCGACUUUCUGGUCUGUAACUGACGCUGAUGUGCGAAAGCGUGGGGAUCAAACAGGAUUAGAUACCCUGGUAGUCCACCGCCGUAAACGAUGAGUGCUAAGUGGUAGGGGGUUUCCGCCCCUU